GAAUAGAUCGGUCAAGGAUGAUCUAGAAUAGAUCGUCUGAGAUCAAUGAGUUGAGAACUACUAUUGAUGGGGUGUCUGUCAGCCUCUGUCAUAUUGGCGUUCUUAUCGGACGUCCAUCUCCUAUAGCUCGAUAGGAGUCGAGGACUCGAUGUACAUCAUAAUUAGUAAUAUUUAAAGAAAUGACUACAAGAUCAUCAUGUGGGUACUUUAUUCCAUCCAAAUCGGC
This 226-nucleotide long non-coding RNA is filed under the name Elaeis guineensis (African oil palm). RNAcentral describes it as "long non-coding RNA (EGUI_LNC005355)". Lineage: Eukaryota; Viridiplantae; Streptophyta; Magnoliopsida; Arecales; Arecaceae. The record is from RNAcentral.